UCCGGAAUCAUGCAAGAAAUCCAAACAUGUUGGUCGCUAAAAUGUAUGAGAACAUCAUCACAAAUAUUUGAGACAUGAGAAAAUUAAUCCAUCCACUUUAAAUCAUAACUAAACAUACAUUCGAAAUUGCACGAUCCCAGACAAAACAGAACAGAAAAAAAACACAUACAUAUAAAGUGUUACAUAGCACGAGAAAAGCAUUUUUGGUACAUCACAGACAACACUAAGUAUGAAGGACUAAAGAAAGCACCGAUAUCCACUGAACAAGCUUGCCAUUAGAAUUUGCAUUAGGUUUUGCUCUGUUGAUGGUAUACAACAGAAAAGCUACAGCCUUUUGCCUCCCGUAUUAGUGCCUCUUGCCUAUCAAUCUUCUUGUCCUGGGAGACGUCAGACCUAGCAAAUGAGAUUCAGUUAGCACAAGACCAUGCAAGUGUCAUGCAUUCGUACUUAAUUUUUUUAAUCAUCAUUAUAUAAUGAAAUGAAUAUGCAUGAAUAAUACCAUUUGAUUGUUUGCUGCACAUACCAGAUGGAAGAAAAAUUAGAGACAAAUUCAACGCAAAACACAACCUAAAUGCGUCUAUGCUGGACAGAGAAAGCUACUGGACAGUUUAAUCACUUAAGAGCAGUCAUGAGUUCGAGAAGAAUAAUAAUACCUAUAACCAGUGAACCACAAAAUGGUUAUUUUUCUUUUCACAUGAUGAUGAGCUCUCACAGAACUUUAAUCUACCUCUGUUGAUGGAAGCAUGUGAGGAAUUUCAGCAACUAAAGGAAUCUUCAAAGCUAGAAGUGCAAACCUCUACUGUUGUGUCAUUUGUUUCUUAGAGCAUGUCCUUGCAUCGUGGAACGCCACUUCCUUACAAAUGCGACAUUUGCGUGCGACCUUUUGAUGGAUUCCAGGCCUUCUUUUCUUCUCGCCCGACCCACUCCUCACAGCAUCCCUGUGUCCCUUUAUUAUAGAGCAAGUGCCCCUUGCAUUGAUAUCAGUAGGUGUGUGGAUGGUAACGUGCUUUGGAAUGAUGCUCCGUUGCUCCCGAUAAAUGACUCCUCAUUUUCGUGUGUGUUGUAUGCUACAGCUGGUACAAGCUGGGCUAAAGCCAUCUCAGCGUUGCACAAACUGGUGUGCAAGAAUUCAAUUCCUUCCAUUGAACUUUUAGAAUUCCGUAUGAGAUCUUCUAGCUUGUUUCUAACGAGAGCUAUCUUCCUUUUCAUAGCCAUGUCAACCGGGUCAAUUAAAUUCUCUUCAAGCAUGUUCCCUUCCCUAUCGAAGACAAUGUCCCUAGCAACGUGAAACAUAUUACAUCAUGAUGUGUGUCAAGGUAGAUAAGUAUAAAUGCUUCUACAUCUACGUGAAGAGAAAUAUACCUUUUGCAAUUUCUCUCCCACCGCUUAAGAACAUAAAUUCUUGGCAAUUCAUUAUUUUCACACCCCUCAUAAAUUGUUAGAUUGAUGGAUGUUUUGUCCUUAGUAAUUUCUUUUAGCUCUCUGUAUGUAUAACAUAUUGUGUUGCUAGUGGGUUAGCUAUUGUACUGCUCGCCUUUGCCUAAAAAUCAUUGUAAGCUUCCAAGAUACUGUUAGUCGGACGAUUAAAAUAUAUCAUUUUCACAAAAUGUUCAUAUGCUUGCCAUUCAUAUCAUUUCCAAAGAUCCAGAAUUUUUUAAUCUUACCCUAGAGGAUACAACAUAUGCUCCAAGCACUAUUUUAAAGCAAAGAGUACUUUCAGAUAUCUAUGCUAAAAUAUUAUGUACUUCUAAAUAAACAUGACAUGAUACAGAAUUGUGCUUGGAUUUUGCAGUAAGAGUUGACAAAAAUGAUUUCCUAACAUAAUAUUAUGUACUGCAAGUACUCUUUACGCCGAAGAAGUCUGGAAGUACUAAUAUUAUGUAUGCCAUAGAUGACAUGUACAAGCACAAGUAUUUGGUACUUUCAGACUUUCACACUGUCCAAGCACUAGUCUGAAAUUUCGCAUUUUCAGACCGUCCAAGCACAAGUCUGAAAGUCUGAAUUUUGGUACAAGCACAAGUAAUUUUCAGACUGUCAUCUUUGUUAAUGUUAUCUUGUAGACUGUCAGUCUAAAAGUAUGAAAUUUGGUACAAGCACAAGUACUUCCAGAAUGUCAAAGCACAAGUCUGAAAGUCUGAAAUUUUACUCCGUGGAGUACUUUCAAACUGUCCAAGCACAAGUCUGAAAUUUGGUACAUAACAUUUGCAGAAUGCUUGGUACUUUCAGUCUGAACUCCAAGCACAAGUCUAUUUUCAGGACAUUUACUUUUUCGACUUACAUGUCAUAAAAUUUUGUCCAUAAUAUCAUGUUCUUGUUUGUGAGGAGUAGAUGACAUGCACAGUUUGCAGUAAAAGUUGAACAAAAGUGAUUUCCUAAAUAAAUGCUACAGAAUCAAGUAUGCAAAUUGGUACCAACCUUUCAGACAAGCAUACCUGAAGACUGAAGAUUUCUUCUUCGACGUUUCCAGAUGGCGGAGCUAGACGCGGGGGUGUGGGCAACGUGUGGAGAAUGGGCUGGUGGGGUAGGAGAAAGAAUGGAGUGAGGUUUUUCUCUGGAGGUCAGAGCAGAGUACCUUGGAGAUCCGCACAAGGUCUCGGCUUCGAACAAGGGAGGUCUGUCGGGGCCGCCAAAACACCGGCGAGAGGACGGUCGAGGAUGUGGAUCUGGACCUCCGCCGGGCUCAAUCGGCCAGCUAGGCACCGGAUCUCGCCCGUCGCCACCGUCGGCA
This 2728-nucleotide long non-coding RNA is filed under the name Triticum aestivum (bread wheat). Its description in RNAcentral is "long non-coding RNA (TAES_LNC017490)". The record is from RNAcentral. Lineage: Eukaryota; Viridiplantae; Streptophyta; Magnoliopsida; Poales; Poaceae.